UACGUAGGGGGCAAGCGUUGUCCGGAUUUAUUGGGCGUAAAGAGCGUGUAGGCGGCCAUGUAGGUCCGUUGUGAAAACUCGAGGCUCAACCUCGAGACGCCGAUGGAAACCAUGUGGCUAGAGUCCGGAAGAGGAGAGUGGAAUUCCUGGUGUAGCAGUGAAAUGCGCAGAUAUCAGGAAGAACACCCGUGGCUAAGGCGGCUCUCUAGUACGGUACUGACGCUGAGACGCGAAAGCGUGGGGAGCAAACAGG
Molecule: ribosomal RNA, 253 nt
Filed under: uncultured bacterium
Lineage: Bacteria
Description: partial 16S ribosomal RNA
Rfam family: Bacterial small subunit ribosomal RNA
Source: RNAcentral